Peromyscus eremicus (cactus mouse) is the source of this 737-nucleotide long non-coding RNA. RefSeq lists it as uncharacterized. The record is from RefSeq and is a predicted model, not a curated record. Lineage: Eukaryota; Metazoa; Chordata; Mammalia; Rodentia; Cricetidae. The transcript has 3 exons.
AAAAAAAGAAAGAAAGAAAGAAAAAGAAAAGAAAAACUGGAGAAGACAUUGAAGAUAUUUCAAGGCAAUAUAAACUAAUGACUACAGCAUUUAGUGAGCUUGCUAGGAGAGGUGGAGAUUUGGAUUUAUUUAUUACAUAUACAGUGUUCUGUCUGCAUGUAUUCCUGCGUGCCAGAAGAGGGCACAGAAUCUCAUUAUGGGUGGUUAUGAGCCACCAUGUGGUUGCUGGGAAUUGAACUCAGAACCUCUGGAAGAUCUGCCAGUGCUCUUAACCUCUGAGCCAUUUCUCCAGCCCCAUGAAGACAAGAGUGGUUGACACAGUAAAAUACAGAAAAUGCUGAGCUUGUGAAGUAAGCAGUUAAAGCAUGCAUGCAAAAGCCACCUGGGCCAGCUCAGGUACAAGCAUUAGCUUGCUGGGUCAGAAGUAAUCUACCCUUUGCAGAAGGCAUCCUGCAGUCUCCAGACCUUUUGCUUGCUAAGCCCCCAACAGUUGGUUCUUGCUUGUCAGAUCUCAGCCGGGUUCUGAGAGUAGCUAAGACACACAAGUAUGUCUUGGGGAGCACUGCAAUGUCUAAAAUGGCUCCUUGUAAGCAUUUCUGAGAUCCAUGUGUUUGCUGAGUGGAUGUCCUCUGCUUCUCUUGGCAGUAUAAAUGCAUUUUUAAGUUUCUACAGUCCCACAGUAUUCACUUAAGAUAUCUCUCCUAGGCCUCAAGAUACAUUCAUGUGUAAAAAAUACC